AAAUUGAAGAGUUUGAUCAUGGCUCAGAUUGAACGCUGGCGGCAGGCCUAACACAUGCAAGUCGAACGGUAACAGGAAACAGCUUGCUGUUUCGCUGACGAGUGGCGGACGGGUGAGUAAUGUCUGGGAAACUGCCUGAUGGAGGGGGAUAACUACUGGAAACGGUAGCUAAUACCGCAUAAUGUCGCAAGACUAAAGAGGGGGACCUUCGGGCCUCUUGCCAUCGGAUGUGCCCAGAUGGGAUUAGCUAGUAGGUGGGGUAACGGCUCACCUAGGCGACGAUCCCUAGCUGGUCUGAGAGGAUGACCAGCCACACUGGAACUGAGACACGGUCCAGACUCCUACGGGAGGCAGCAGUGGGGAAUAUUGCACAAUGGGCGCAAGCCUGAUGCAGCCAUGCCGCGUGUAUGAAGAAGGCCUUCGGGUUGUAAAGUACUUUCAGCGGGGAGGAAGGGAGUAAAGUUAAUACCUUUACUCAUUGACGUUACCCGCAGA
Molecule: ribosomal RNA, 495 nt
Filed under: Escherichia coli
Lineage: Bacteria; Pseudomonadati; Pseudomonadota; Gammaproteobacteria; Enterobacterales; Enterobacteriaceae
Also listed under: 1 other name
Description: partial 16S ribosomal RNA
Rfam family: Bacterial small subunit ribosomal RNA
Source: RNAcentral